RNAcentral lists this ribosomal RNA (497 nucleotides) under Fusarium sp. BJ9. RNAcentral describes it as "eukaryotic LSU rRNA". The stretch from base 125 to 278 matches the Rfam family "5.8S ribosomal RNA". Lineage: Eukaryota; Fungi; Ascomycota; Sordariomycetes; Hypocreales; Nectriaceae. The record is from RNAcentral.
GUGACAUACCUAAAACGUUGCUUCGGCGGGAACAGACGGCCCUGUAACAACGGGCCGCCCCCGCCAGAGGACCCCUAACUCUGUUUUUAUAAUGUUUUUCUGAGUAAACAAGCAAAUAAAUUAAAACUUUCAACAACGGAUCUCUUGGCUCUGGCAUCGAUGAAGAACGCAGCGAAAUGCGAUAAGUAAUGUGAAUUGCAGAAUUCAGUGAAUCAUCGAAUCUUUGAACGCACAUUGCGCCCGCCAGUAUUCUGGCGGGCAUGCCUGUUCGAGCGUCAUUACAACCCUCAGGCCCCCGGGCCUGGCGUUGGGGAUCGGCGGAAGCCCCCUGUGGGCACACGCCGUCCCUCAAAUACAGUGGCGGUCCCGCCGCAGCUUCCAUUGCGUAGUAGCUAACACCUCGCAACUGGAGAGCGGCGCGGCCAUGCCGUAAAACACCCAACUUCUGAAUGUUGACCUCGAAUCAGGUAGGAAUACCCGCUGAACUUAAGCAUAUC